Molecule: transfer RNA, 72 nt
Filed under: Erinaceus europaeus (western European hedgehog)
Lineage: Eukaryota; Metazoa; Chordata; Mammalia; Eulipotyphla; Erinaceidae
Rfam family: tRNA
About the family: Transfer RNA (tRNA) molecules are approximately 80 nucleotides in length.
Source: Rfam by way of RNAcentral
GCAGAGGUAGCUCAGUGGGAAGAGCUCGUGUCUUGCACACAUGAGGCCCUGGGUUCGAUCCUGAGUGCUGCA